Molecule: long non-coding RNA, 284 nt
Filed under: Setaria viridis
Lineage: Eukaryota; Viridiplantae; Streptophyta; Magnoliopsida; Poales; Poaceae
Description: long non-coding RNA (SVIR_LNC002204)
Source: RNAcentral
UGGUCUCGUGUUGGAUGACAUAUUGGCAGGCUACUCAUGUCGUCAAUUCGUCAUGUAUUUUUAUUCACACUCUAUCAUUUAGGCUUCCGCUAUAUUUUAUUUAAGAAAUCUGGCUUGUAUUUUGAACUCGAUUUGUAAUUUAAGUUGGGAACUCUAUGUUUGUAAACUGAAAUACCAUGUUAUAUCAUCUGCGCUCAUCUUCGUGUGAGACUUGUUGCAUGUUGUUUCGAUCGAGGUAUUCAGUGGUUGAAUCAGGCUUGACCCGACAGAUUGUCGGAUUACAC